AGGUAGGGGUCAAUGAAGAUUUACACAGGCAUUAAAAUUUAAAAAUGCACCAAUCAUAUUGAAAAGUAUAACAGAUUAUUUAUCUGAUCAUAAAUAUUCCAAAAAAGGUAUAGUUUGGACUAUGUAUGACUAAAUGUUAAGGAGUUAUGGGGGUAAAAACAGCAAGAAUGGUGGCAAAGGUCAGUUUCAGUUUGUACAGGGUCAAAAGUUAAAGUUACUCCAAUUUUUGAAAAAUGUGAUGAAAAUUAUUUAUGGAGUUAAUAGGGUUUUAAAAAGGAAAGUUUGCACCAUGUGUCAUGCUUAGUUAUCAUGUUACAUAUGUAACGUGAUAACAUGUCACAUGCCACAGAAUCCAAUGUACAUCGACAUUGUUUGACCUUUACUUUGCAAACCAAGCAUUCAACACAGUCAAAACUAAUCCAUUUAUUAAUCCUAUUAAUUAAAGCAAUAAUU
Thalassophryne amazonica is the source of this 453-nucleotide long non-coding RNA. RefSeq lists it as uncharacterized. Lineage: Eukaryota; Metazoa; Chordata; Actinopteri; Batrachoidiformes; Batrachoididae. The record is from RefSeq and is a predicted model, not a curated record. The transcript is spliced from 3 exons.